UUAAGCGACUAAGCGUACACGGUGGAUGCCCUGGCAGUCAGAGGCGAUGAAGGACGUGCUAAUCUGCGAUAAGCGUCGGUAAGGUGAUAUGAACCGUUAUAACCGGCGAUUUCCGAAUGGGGAAACCCAGUGUGAUUCGUCACACUAUCAUUAACUGAAUCCAUAGGUUAAUGAGGCGAACCGGGGGAACUGAAACAUCUAAGUACCCCGAGGAAAAGAAAUCAACCGAGAUUCCCCCAGUAGCGGCGAGCGAACGGGGAGGAGCCCAGAGCCUGAAUCAGUGUGUGUGUUAGUGGAAGCGUCUGGAAAGGCGCGCGAUACAGGGUGACAGCCCCGUACACAAAAAUGCACAUACUGUGAGCUCGAUGAGUAGGGCGGGACACGUGGUAUCCUGUCUGAAUAUGGGGGGACCAUCCUCCAAGGCUAAAUACUCCUGACUGACCGAUAGUGAACCAGUACCGUGAGGGAAAGGCGAAAAGAACCCCGGCGAGGGGAGUGAAAAAGAACCUGAAACCGUGUACGUACAAGCAGUGGGAGCACGCUUCGGCGUGUGACUGCGUACCUUUUGUAUAAUGGGUCAGCGACUUAUAUUCUGUAGCAAGGUUAACCGAAUAGGGGAGCCGAAGGGAAACCGAGUCUUAACUGGGCGUUAAGUUGCAGGGUAUAGACCCGAAACCCGGUGAUCUAGCCAUGGGCAGGUUGAAGGUUGGGUAACACUAACUGGAGGACCGAACCGACUAAUGUUGAAAAAUUAGCGGAUGACUUGUGGCUGGGGGUGAAAGGCCAAUCAAACCGGGAGAUAGCUGGUUCUCCCCGAAAGCUAUUUAGGUAGCGCCUCGUGAAUUCAUCUCCGGGGGUAGAGCACUGUUUCGGCAAGGGGGUCAUCCCGACUUACCAACCCGAUGCAAACUGCGAAUACCGGAGAAUGUUAUUACGGGAGACACACGGCGGGUGCUAACGUCCGUCGUGAAGAGGGAAACAACCCAGACCGCCAGCUAAGGUCCCAAAGUCAUGGUUAAGUGGGAAACGAUGUGGGAAGGCCCAGACAGCCAGGAUGUUGGCUUAGAAGCAGCCAUCAUUUAAAGAAAGCGUAAUAGCUCACUGGUCGAGUCGGCCUGCGCGGAAGAUGUAACGGGGCUAAACCAUGCACCGAAGCUGCGGCAGCGACACUAUGUGUUGUUGGGUAGGGGAGCGUUCUGUAAGCCUGUGAAGGUGGACUGUGAGGGUUGCUGGAGGUAUCAGAAGUGCGAAUGCUGACAUAAGUAACGAUAAAGCGGGUGAAAAGCCCGCUCGCCGGAAGACCAAGGGUUCCUGUCCAACGUUAAUCGGGGCAGGGUGAGUCGACCCCUAAGGCGAGGCCGAAAGGCGUAGUCGAUGGGAAACAGGUUAAUAUUCCUGUACUUGGUGUUACUGCGAAGGGGGGACGGAGAAGGCUAUGUUGGCCGGGCGACGGUUGUCCCGGUUUAAGCGUGUAGGCUGGUUUUCCAGGCAAAUCCGGAAAACUAAGGCUGAGGCGUGAUGACGAGGCACUACGGUGCUGAAGCAACAAAUGCCCUGCUUCCAGGAAAAGCCUCUAAGCAUCAGGUAACAUCAAAUCGUACCCCAAACCGACACAGGUGGUCAGGUAGAGAAUACCAAGGCGCUUGAGAGAACUCGGGUGAAGGAACUAGGCAAAAUGGUGCCGUAACUUCGGGAGAAGGCACGCUGAUAUGUAGGUGAAGCGACUUGCUCGUGGAGCUGAAAUCAGUCGAAGAUACCAGCUGGCUGCAACUGUUUAUUAAAAACACAGCACUGUGCAAACACGAAAGUGGACGUAUACGGUGUGACGCCUGCCCGGUGCCGGAAGGUUAAUUGAUGGGGUUAGCGGUAACGCGAAGCUCUUGAUCGAAGCCCCGGUAAACGGCGGCCGUAACUAUAACGGUCCUAAGGUAGCGAAAUUCCUUGUCGGGUAAGUUCCGACCUGCACGAAUGGCGUAAUGAUGGCCAGGCUGUCUCCACCCGAGACUCAGUGAAAUUGAACUCGCUGUGAAGAUGCAGUGUACCCGCGGCAAGACGGAAAGACCCCGUGAACCUUUACUAUAGCUUGACACUGAACAUUGAGCCUUGAUGUGUAGGAUAGGUGGGAGGCUUUGAAGUGUGGACGCCAGUCUGCAUGGAGCCGACCUUGAAAUACCACCCUUUAAUGUUUGAUGUUCUAACGUUGGCCCCUGAUCCGGGUUGCGGACAGUGUCUGGUGGGUAGUUUGACUGGGGCGGUCUCCUCCUAAAGAGUAACGGAGGAGCACGAAGGUUGGCUAAUCCUGGUCGGACAUCAGGAGGUUAGUGCAAUGGCAUAAGCCAGCUUGACUGCGAGCGUGACGGCGCGAGCAGGUGCGAAAGCAGGUCAUAGUGAUCCGGUGGUUCUGAAUGGAAGGGCCAUCGCUCAACGGAUAAAAGGUACUCCGGGGAUAACAGGCUGAUACCGCCCAAGAGUUCAUAUCGACGGCGGUGUUUGGCACCUCGAUGUCGGCUCAUCACAUCCUGGGGCUGAAGUAGGUCCCAAGGGUAUGGCUGUUCGCCAUUUAAAGUGGUACGCGAGCUGGGUUUAGAACGUCGUGAGACAGUUCGGUCCCUAUCUGCCGUGGGCGCUGGAGAACUGAGGGGGGCUGCUCCUAGUACGAGAGGACCGGAGUGGACGCAUCACUGGUGUUCGGGUUGUCAUGCCAAUGGCACUGCCCGGUAGCUAAAUGCGGAAGAGAUAAGUGCUGAAAGCAUCUAAGCACGAAACUUGCCCCGAGAUGAGUUCUCCCUGACUCCCUGAGAGUCCUGAAGGAACGUUGAAGACGACGACGUUGAUAGGCCGGGUGUGUAAGCGCAGCGAUGCGUUGAGCUAACCGGUACUAAUGAACCGUGAGGCUUAACCUU
Molecule: ribosomal RNA, 2903 nt
Filed under: Escherichia coli KOEGE 77 (202a)
Lineage: Bacteria; Pseudomonadati; Pseudomonadota; Gammaproteobacteria; Enterobacterales; Enterobacteriaceae
Description: bacterial LSU rRNA
Rfam family: Bacterial large subunit ribosomal RNA
Source: RNAcentral